Molecule: long non-coding RNA, 3817 nt
Organism: Numida meleagris (helmeted guineafowl)
Lineage: Eukaryota; Metazoa; Chordata; Aves; Galliformes; Numididae
Exons: 2
Source: RefSeq, a predicted model, not a curated record
UGAACUAUUAAGCCGUAACACAUGGCUGACAUCUGGAACUCACCCGCAAGAUUUUGUCAUUUGAAUAUUGGAAGCCUCAGCUUGUUACUCUCUUCCCUCCAGGAUGUAGCCACACUUUCUGCAUCCAGAGCUCAUAAAAACAGAGAAUUAUAAAAUGGACAAGAGGACCCACCAUUGUGUGUUUUGCAGCAGGGACUCACUAUGAGGUCCCAAGCACUGCCUCUUGGAGCUCCUGGGGCGUCUCCAGGUAGGGCAGCUUUGCAAAUGGACUCAGCUUCCACCAGGGUCAGGAACAACACUAGGUGCUGACAUCACCAUGCUCUUCAGAAAUCACUUGGAGCUUGGGAACACAACAAAGAUUGCUUAUCCAUGCCUGAAGUCAAAACGUCUUUAAAAAUUCUUGGCUUUUCCUUUGUUUUCCUAUCAGUGGUGCUGAGAUGCAAUGGUAUGUGAUGGAUGUGCAGGGCCAUUCACCGGAGUGCUGAGAAGGACAGCUGCCACUGCAAGCACUCCUUUGAUGGUCAGUCCCUCAAGGCAUCAGUGAUAGACCCGACCUCUCUUCCUGCCCCAGGGUUAGAACCCCAUCUCUGGUGCCAGCUCUUGAUUGGUGUCCCCAGCAUGCGCAUGCUUCCAUCCUGGCCUGGCCAUCAGCAGGGUCUGCCUUGCCCAGUGCAGUGUGGCAGCUUCAGUCUGGCUUUGAGUGAGCACUGGCUGCCUACUUCCCCUGGCCAGGUGCUGCAGUAGUAAACAGUGAUCUUACUACUUAUCAAAUAUGCAUGGAUAAUCAACCAGCUCUCCAGAUCCAGUUAUUUUCUCAGAUAUUUCCUUUUCCCAUGAGUUGUGGGUCUCCCCUGGGAUAUCACACUUUCAUUUCAGACCUGAGAAAAUUCUUGAAUACUGAAAACUGGUGUGUGUCUCUCCAACUGUUUAGUAGGUGUAAUAAAAGAUUUUCCCCUCUGUCCACAGGCAUUGUUGUUGUUUCAUAUUCUUAGGUCUUUGCACCCUGCAGCCACCAGCAUCUCCACUGCCAAGCUGCAGCAAGUUGCCCAACUGCUUGUACUGCAACUGAAAGCUCAGUCACAUCAGCUCGAAGUGGUUCUGGUCUUUCUGAAGAUAUGUCAAGGCAAAUGGCUGACAGUGCCUCUGCCCUUUCCCCUUUACAGGCCUUGGCAGAGGUGGCUUGUUCCUCAGGCCAUGCUGUGACAUUUUCCCGGUGCUCUUGUCCCCAGGCUUUGAGGACUGAGGCAUCCUACCUGAGGCAUCCUCCAUAGCUGCCAUGCUGGAGGAGCAGUGCUUUGGCUCUGUUCUGCAGGCACUCUCACUCCUCUUAGACUGAAAAUUAACAAGUAACCACUUGCACCUUGCUCUGUAGUCAGAGCAUUUAGAUGAAGCAAACUGGAGGUACUGCAAGUGCUGCAAGUGGGUACUUUAACAUUUUAAAACAAUUUUCCUUUAUUCCACAAAACCAACGAUGGUGGACAUAAUAUACUGUGUUGAGACAGUGCAUUUAUAUGUUAUGGCUAAGCCCAUUUUUCCAUGGGAGGACAUCCAGCUCCAUAGCACCACGCCACAUUAGAUAUUGCUACACCAAAAAAAAACAGGCUGAAGCAGAGUGCAUUUGAUACUUAUGGUCAUGUGUAUUUUGUGGUGAAGCUGUUUGUAAGACAAAGAUUAAUUAUCUAGGUCACAGACUGCUGGGAUUUUCCAGCCACCCCAAAUAUAUAUUUUAUAUUUGCUCCAGGGUUCAAUUUCUGUUAUGCCACAAUUGCAGGCUCUUCCCCUGACUUGGCUGUAUUUUGAUUAGUGGUAUGAAAGUCCUAUCUGGCUGCUAAUUUGAGGUUGAUAUAAAAUAUCUCAGUGUUUCUCCCGGGAUUUUUUCAUUCUUGACUGACCUUCUUGUUGUGUCAGCUGAAGAAAUAGUGCAGUUCCACAUCAGUGCCAGGCUGCAGCUCAGAUAGCCAAGGGACAGGUUGGGAUGGGUCCUAGUUUUGGAGAAGCUAUCAAAACAUGUGGAAAUGCUUAUCCAGGGAAAACAUCAGUGCAGGGCUCCACGAUGAGGCUGGUGGGUGAGCAGCGUCCUCCCUCUUCAGAGCACAAGCCCAGCAGACAGAGCCCGCCAUCCAAUAUUUCCUAAACAGGUUACAUGCCUGGCCACCUGGUCCAGGAGAGAGAUCAAUAACUGCAGUGCCUACAUAGAGAUGCUGGAGUGGUGCUCAGGUCCCCGCAGGCUGCACCACACCAGGGGCCUCAGCCUGGAGGGGCAAACCUCACACCUCACUUGUGGCUUACUUCCUCACUGGACACAGCACGUGGCCGAACAAAGUUAGCUGGACAGUGGAAACAGCCAGAAGCUCAUCCCGGCUAGGGAAGGCUCCUUCCCAAAGCAGAGCUAACCUCUGCUGGCUGCUGAGAGCUCCUACACUGGGACAGUGCACUGCCAGUGGCCCUGUACCCAGCCACAUACCCAGCUUCUCUGCAGGCUUUGGAUGGCUGCCCCUCUAGGGCAGGGGUCCCAACCUUUCCUUUCUCCUUGUAUUUUCCUAUUAUUUUUAAAAUACGGGCAUUUCUGCACAAAGGACAUCAGCUCUGAUGUGACCUUUGCAUGUUCUCAUGCAGUGCAAACCUUUUUAUUUCCUGAAUGGCUUGCUCUGCUCUUGAAUUAACUCAACACAAUGGAUUUUGUCCAAGUACAUUCUGUUUCUUGACAUGAAGCCAGGCUUUGCUGGGUUGUGGUGCUGUUUUCUUCUCCCUGCUCUCCUCCCAGUUUCUUUAUUAUCAUCCUCAUUACUGACUGUUACUGGAUCCAUGCAGCCAAGCGGGGGAGAGCAAGCCCCUGCCCAGGCCUGCCUCUGACAGCAGCUGAAGUGAGCACACUGCAGUGGUGGUGAACGCCUUCCUCAAUGAGCCUGUACAUUGAGCUGUCCCACGCCUGGCCUGGCACUGGAAGGUAUGUCUGCGACCAGCUGAAGCAGAAAACAUUUGAACUCUACAAUCUGCCAAAUAGCUUCCAGAUGUGCGAGAUACAGCCUUGCUGUGGACUCCGACUGUAGCUCUGCCAACAUACGUCUGCACAUUUCUGGUGCACAGGGAGCACAAAAGUAGAUCUUUUACAACAUCUGCUGCCUUUCCCCAGUUCUCCCUCCCUGCUUCUUGUAGUUCUAUUCCUGUAUUUCAUCUUUCUAUAUAUAAUAUUAGGAAAAGAUUCAAGCCUUUCCACUGAUUUAUUAAUUAUUUCCUGCACAUUUCAUACCUAGCUGUGCUGGCAGUAUGGCAGAAAGAGGAAAAUACAGAGACACCUUCUGCUUAGACAGCAAGCCUGUGCUCAGGUCCUUUAAUGAAUUCUAUAUUGAUUCAGGGCUCAGCUGGGUGCUCUUGCAGAAUCAAAUCAUGAAAUGGUAUCAAAUUUCACGGAAAAGGGGCUUUUGUUAAAAAAAGCUGAUAUUUAUCUUAAUGUCACAGUAAGAAUUACUGUCUUAAUUCUCAAGGCACCUGGCGUUGUGGGAUGGCAGAGCAGAGCUGGCCAGAAGAGGUAAGGGAGGGAGCAGAGCUGCUGGGGAUUAGGUUAUGUGAUAAUGAUGCGAUAGCAGCUCUAAUAUUCAAAUAAGGAAAAUUACCACUUUAUAAGUUCUUACUUUUAAAGCAAUUCUCUGGCUAAGAAAAAAGAUAAUAAAUGCCUUCCUUUUCUGCUGUCCCCAAACAAAAAGGAGUGGUUAUCUCUUCAGGUUCACUAAGACUCCACAAGUAGUGGUUGUUCACUGUCCUUUGUUCCUACAUCAAACCAGUGUAUUCUUCAAUAAAUACUUAUCUUUGGAGCCCA